UACACAGUGAAAAUGCCAUGCUUGGGG
RNAcentral lists this non-coding RNA (27 nucleotides) under Rattus norvegicus (Norway rat). The record is from RNAcentral. Lineage: Eukaryota; Metazoa; Chordata; Mammalia; Rodentia; Muridae.